This 257-nucleotide ribosomal RNA is filed under the name Rhodotorula mucilaginosa. RNAcentral's name for it is "partial large subunit ribosomal RNA". It matches the Rfam family "Eukaryotic large subunit ribosomal RNA", at positions 211 to 464 of the family's 3401-position model. The record is from RNAcentral. Lineage: Eukaryota; Fungi; Basidiomycota; Microbotryomycetes; Sporidiobolales; Sporidiobolaceae.
GGUGAGACCCCCGUAUAUGGUGCGGACGCCCAGCGCUUUGUGAUACAUUUUCGAAGAGUCGAGUUGUUUGGGAAUGCAGCUCAAAUUGGGUGGUAAAUUCCAUCUAAAGCUAAAUAUUGGCGAGAGACCGAUAGCGAACAAGUACCGUGAGGGAAAGAUGAAAAGCACUUUGGAAAGAGAGUUAACAGUACGUGAAAUUGUUGGAAGGGAAACGCUUGAAGUCAGACUUGCUUGCCGAGCAAUCGGUUUGCAGGCCA